GAUGAACGCUGGCGGCGUGCCUAAUACAUGCAAGUCGAGCGAACGGACGAGAAGCUUGCUUCUCUGAUGUUAGCGGCGGACGGGUGAGUAACACGUGGAUAACCUACCUAUAAGACUGGGAUAACUUCGGGAAACCGGCGCUAAUACCGGAUAAUAUUUUGAACCGCAUGGUUCAAAAGUGAAAGACGGUCUUGCUGUCACUUAUAGAUGGAUCCGCGCUGCAUUAGCUAGUUGGUAAGGUAACGGCUUACCAAGGCAACGAUGCAUAGCCGACCUGAGAGGGUGGUCGGCCACACUGGAACUGAGACACGGUCCAGACUCCUACGGGAGGCAGCAGUAGGGAAUCUUCCGCAAUGGGCGAAAGCCUGACGGAGCAACGCCGCGUGAGUGAUGAAGGUCUUCGGAUCGUAAAACUCUGUUAUUAGGGAAGAACAUAUGUGUAAGUAGCUGUGCACAUCUUGACGGUACCUAAUCAGAAAGCCACGGCUAACUACGUG
Molecule: ribosomal RNA, 497 nt
Filed under: uncultured bacterium
Lineage: Bacteria
Description: partial 16S ribosomal RNA
Rfam family: Bacterial small subunit ribosomal RNA
Source: RNAcentral